GACGAACGCUGGCGGCGUGCUUAACACAUGCAAGUCGAACGGAAAGGCCCUGCUUUUGUGGGGUGCUCGAGUGGCGAACGGGUGAGUAACACGUGAGUAACCUGCCCUUGACUUUGGGAUAACUUCAGGAAACUGGGGCUAAUACCGGAUAGGAGCUCCUGCUGCAUGGUGGGGGUUGGAAAGUUUCGGCGGUUGGGGAUGGACUCGCGGCUUAUCAGCUUGUUGGUGGGGUAGUGGCUUACCAAGGCUUUGACGGGUAGCCGGCCUGAGAGGGUGACCGGCCACAUUGGGCCUGCGAUACGGCCCAGACUCCUACGGGAGGCAGCAGUGGGGAAUAUUGCACAAUGGGCGGAAGCCUGAUUCAGCAACGCCGCGUGCGGGAUGACGGCCUUCGGGUUGUAAACCGCUUUCGCCUGUGACGAAGCGUGAGUGACGGUAAUGGGUAAAGAAGCACCGGCUAACUACGUG
RNAcentral lists this ribosomal RNA (468 nucleotides) under uncultured bacterium. RNAcentral describes it as "partial 16S ribosomal RNA". It matches the Rfam family "Bacterial small subunit ribosomal RNA", at positions 28 to 507 of the family's 1533-position model. The record is from RNAcentral.